This 401-nucleotide ribosomal RNA is filed under the name uncultured bacterium. RNAcentral's name for it is "bacterial SSU rRNA". It matches the Rfam family "Bacterial small subunit ribosomal RNA", at positions 358 to 776 of the family's 1533-position model. The record is from RNAcentral.
GGAAUAUUGGACAAUGGGCGAAAGCCUGAUCCAGCAAUGCCGCGUGAGUGAUGAAGGCCUUAGGGUUGUAAAGCUCUUUUACCCGGGAUGAUAAUGACGGUACCGGGAGAAUAAGCCCCGGCUAACUCCGUGCCCGCCGCCGCGGUAAUACGGAGGGGGCUAGCGUUGUUCGGAAUUACUGGGCGUAAAGCGCGCGUAGGCGGCUUUGUAAGUCAGGGGUGAAAGCCCAGAGCUCAACUCUGGAAUAGCCUUUGAGACUGCAUCGCUUGAAUCCAGGAGAGGUGAGUGGAAUUCCGAGUGUAGAGGUGAAAUUCGUAGAUAUUCGGAAGAACACCAGUGGCGAAGGCGGCUCACUGGACUGGUAUUGACGCUGGGGUGCGAAAGCGUGGGGAGCAAACAGG